This 300-nucleotide unclassified non-coding RNA is filed under the name uncultured Herpotrichiellaceae. Its description in RNAcentral is "sequence contains 5.8S rRNA gene, ITS2". The stretch from base 1 to 71 matches the Rfam family "5.8S ribosomal RNA", at positions 84 to 154 of the family's 154-position model. The record is from RNAcentral. Lineage: Eukaryota; Fungi; Ascomycota; Eurotiomycetes; Chaetothyriales; Herpotrichiellaceae.
GUGAAUCAUCGAAUCUUUGAACGCACAUUGCGCCCUUUGGUAUUCCGAAGGGCAUACCUGUUCGAGCGUCAUUAUCACCCCUCAAGCCCCGUGCUUGGUGUUGGACGGCCGGUCGAGGUGACUCGACCCCUCCUAAAGACAAUGACGGCGGCCUGUGGUUCCCCCGGUACACUGAGCUUUUCACUGAGCACGUAUCGGACAAGGGCGCCCAGGACCCGGUCCUCUCCUUUGACCAGGAAACUUUUCAAGGUUGACCUCGGAUCAGGUAGGGAUACCCGCUGAACUUAAGCAUAUCAAUAA